AAGACUAUACUUUACAGGAUCAUUUCUGUAGUAGCAUAGUUCUUCCUACUUUCCAAUCUUGGAGAGCCUCAACCCACGAUGAUGAGGUUUCACCCUGUCUUCUGAGCGUGAGGCAGGCGAUCUGACCUGAUGAAAGUCAGUCAGACUCGCCAUCGAUGAUCGCAACCCUUUCGGGGGUAGGAAGAGAGGGGUCUCUGAGUGGUC
This 204-nucleotide small nucleolar RNA is filed under the name Bemisia tabaci. Its description in RNAcentral is "aCEA small nucleolar RNA U3". It matches the Rfam family "Small nucleolar RNA U3". From Rfam's summary of the family: Small nucleolar RNAs (snoRNAs) are involved in the processing and modification of rRNA in the nucleolus. There are two main classes of snoRNAs: the box C/D class, and the box H/ACA class. Lineage: Eukaryota; Metazoa; Arthropoda; Insecta; Hemiptera; Aleyrodidae. The record is from RNAcentral.